RNAcentral lists this unclassified non-coding RNA (2698 nucleotides) under Leishmania donovani. RNAcentral's name for it is "gene:LdHU3.26.0750(CDS-product:spliced_leader_RNA _PSE-promoter_misc_RNAion_factor_putative)". The record is from RNAcentral. Lineage: Eukaryota; Euglenozoa; Kinetoplastea; Trypanosomatida; Trypanosomatidae.
CCACCCCUCUCCCCUCCCAGUACCGACACACGUACAAUGCGGCGCUCGCUGCGCUUGUGGUGCAGCAAGUUGGACCUGGAUGGCAACCCGUCCCGCUACUUUCCGCGCUUCCGCCCGCGGCGGCUGGUCAUGCCAGUCGAUCCGAGCGACCUCCACAGCGACAAGCGGCAACCUAACCCGCUAUUCAUGAAGGUAAAGGCGCAAAAACGCCAACGUCGCCGUGCCGAGAUGCGUGGCGCCGUGCAGCUGGCAAGCGUUCCCAAGGAGCGCAGCGUGGGGGACGUGUACCGGCUCCUGAUGGAUGCUUGUGAGACGCAGAACUUGUUCUCCGAUGCCGCGCUAACGCCGCGGACAGUGCGAGAUCUGGAGUCUCUCCUGCAGGCCUACAAGGCCGCUAACGCAGCGCUGCGACGCUCUGGUCAAGCGUCAGCAGCUCCCCUCGAUGGUGGAGCAGCGUCGGCCGGAGAAUCGACAACGGAGCAGGGAUCGCCACGUAACGACAACGCGCCGCAACACAGCUCUCCACUGUACUCGCGUGCCUUCCAAGCGAGUCCACCGCCAGUCGCCGCAUCGUCCUUUGCCUCCGCCACUGCCGCUGACACACUCUCCAUUCGCGAAGUGGAUCAGAUGUGGUCGAUGCUCGAUCACACACCCCUCAACGCCCCCGUGCACGGCGCUCUCGCCCUACGCGGGGACGCGCUGGUACGUUCCGUAUUGCUGGAGCUCACCUACUCUGCUUAUCCGCGGCUGCGCUCGAAGCAUGUGCAGCAGUUGCUGCAUGAGACGACAGGGUUUCUGCCGUGCGGCCGCAUAGCCAUGCGGAUCGGCCUCGCCGAGCACUGCGGCGUAGAAGGUGACAUCGCCAUGUGGCGUGAGCUCAACGUCCUCUCGGAGCGCAUGCGUAUCGCGCGAAAGGAGGCGGCAGCGCACCUGCAGCGCGUCGAGAAGGGCAUAGCAGCGCAGCGCCGGUGGUACUGGAGGGCGGUGUUGCGCUCCGCCGCUGCACGGCUGAAGCUGUUUCCAGUGCACAAGGAGGACCUGUUGCCGCGCAUGCAGUGGGUGCGCAGCUUUCUCUUCGCCUUUGUUGCCUUCGUUGAGAUGGCCGAGACUUCCGGAGACGCCCACGCCCGCGUGCGACCGCUUAUCUAUCAGCUGUUUGCGAGCCAGCUGGCACGCCAUAUACGGCUCCGUCAGAUCAUCGAGGCGGCAGAGGCCAUUGUUGCCGCCACGUCCGAGCAGGACGCCCGUGUAGAUGCACCAGCAGCAGCUCCCUCGGCUACUUCGCCUCUAUCGCCGCCUUUGGGUGAUAAUGAAGCGAGUGUCGAGGCGCUCCACCGCCGCGUUGCUGAGGAGCUGGCGCGGGUCAAGUCCCGCACUGUAGACGAGGAGGAGGUGCUGGAGGGCCGUGCGCACCCAAUGAACCGCAGGGCCGACCGGCGGCGCGAACAGUUUGAGUCAAGUGGCGGCGCCCAUGGUACCCAGAUGCUCCACGAUGAGGCCCUCGAGAGGCACGCGGAGGACUACGGCCAUCUUGCACCACCGCUGCUGCUCCACGCACUUGAGUCGACUAGCCCGAAUGCGUUCAAAGAGGCGCAACUUGUCCUUCGCUAUGCGCCACAGGUAUCAGAGAAACUGCGCCGAUCACCGAUCGAUGUUGAUCAGGUGGUGCGUCGCGUCGUGGAUGUGCAGGAGACAAACAACUACGCCUCACUGCACAACGCGCAGCAGUAUCGCCAGGUGGAGUACACGGUUUGCCGCCUCUACGCCGGGCGCUACUGCCUGGGUGAGGGGAAGGGCGAAACGCUCAUGUCGGCGAUGCAGGAUGCAUCCAUGCGGAUGCUGUUGAAUUACUACCUCCGGUUUCCUUUGUCAGCACCAUCGCCGCUGGAGUCGCCGACGCGGACGGAGGGGAGCAGUGAUUGCUCCAGUCAUGGCAAUGGCAGGGCUGCUAUAGCGACGGCACACAUCCCUGACGGCGAGGACGGCAACGCGGGUGGCGUGCCGGCGCCGCGGAUUCGCUCGCCGACGACGGAGGAAGAAGUCGUGCUGUAGUGGUGGAGAGGUGAUUGCCGGCGUGGGAGAGGAGGGCGUAGGCAGGAGAUCGGGGGACACCCCUCUACCGCCUUCCUCGCCGCCCCCCCCCUUGCUUUGCUCAUGCGUACACGCGUCUUUCUUCACCCGCGCCACCCCAUCACUCUGCCCUCGAUGCCCACCUCAUCACUGCCAGCGCAGCCUCAAAGGGGGCGGGGAAGGCGAUAAUGGAGCGAGCAGCACUGGGCUGCUGCAAUGGUAAUAAGGGACGGGGUGGGACGUACUUCACAGUUCAGAUCUGAAUUCUGGGGGCGUGUGUCGCACACAAGGCGCAUGCAAGGGGUGAUGUCUUGCCUUUCGGGCAGCUCAUGCAGGCGGUGCACUAACAAGAUACAAAACGAAGCGAGUGCAGCCCUUCAGUGAAGGCUUGGCGAUCAACGGACGAGGAAUCGUCACAUCGCUUCUCUUACAAGAGGGUGUGCUUGUGGAAAGGCAGCACGCAUGGGCCAUGAACAGGAUGAGGCUGCGAGGUGCGUGCGUGUGUGCGUCUGUUGUUUUGUUGCUGCAAUGUGCCCACACGCUGAUGUGUUCCCCUCAUCCGUGCCGGUGAGUUCCUUAUAUGUUUCCUGCCCUCCCAUCCCUUGUGCCUUUUCAUCUGUUGCUCGAG